Molecule: long non-coding RNA, 1364 nt
Organism: Cyanistes caeruleus (blue tit)
Lineage: Eukaryota; Metazoa; Chordata; Aves; Passeriformes; Paridae
Source: RefSeq, a predicted model, not a curated record
CUGCAGGGACACGUCUGGGAGACCUUGUCAGAGGUGAAACCACAGUCAAGAUAAAUGAUGUUCCCCAGUGUCCAUUUGGCCAUUGAGGAAGAAAUUGUGUUGUCCCAGAGUGUCCUGCCCUUGGGAAGUCCAUGGUCCCUGUCUCCAGUCAUCAUCACAUUCUUCCAUCAUUUCAGGAUGCUUCCUUUCAUAAUCUUCACUUGGCCUCUGAGGAGUCCCCUGGACCGACUGUACCACCCCACACUGAUAUUCCAGGGAAAUGUCACAUGGAGCUGUUUUUCCAGGUGCAGACCCAGGAUGUACUCCUGAAUGAUUUUCAGGUUGCUAUCUUGGGAACUGGGUGAAUAUCAGAACAAAUUCCAUGAAAACCUGGGCAAAGCACAGGGACCAUCCUUGUGAGCAGACUCCAAUGCUGGCAGUGAGAUGUGAUCAAGAGCAGAUUUUUAAAAUGAAUAAAAGUCUAAAUGAAUACAAUUUAUAAUACAGAGCUCAUCAGUUCAUAGGUACCCAUCCAUCUAAUUACAUUCCCUGCUCUAUCACAGUCCCUUAGCUUUCAAAGCCCCAGAAAUGUUUUAGACACUUUUUAUUCCUUAUAUUUGCAGUGAAAAAGUCAUGAUGGGAAUUUUUCCCGAGAAAGAAAAUGGCAAGAUGAGGCUGGAGCAGAUGGCCCUCUGCACCCACACCCACAAACCCAACCUCACUGCCCCUCUGGAGGGCUGGAGAUGGGGGUAAAGGUGGGUUAAACUCUGUUUUAUGCCCCCAGAAAAGGUGUGGGAGUGAAAAUGUACAGAUUGCUCUUGAGAAAUGAAGCCCUCAAUGCUGCUAGGAAGUCCUGGCCUUUCCAAAGGUCAGUUUCCUAGAAGUGUGUGGCUCAUUACCCAGGAGGAAUCCCCUCCUUGAAGGAGGAGGUGAGGUGCUGCCGUUCAAGACGUGGUUUCUCAGCCAAGUCAUGCACAGGGGAGCAGGAGCUAUUGGCCUUGUGUGGCUCUGUGGAGACCUCUCUGCAGAGGGGGCUUGGGGUCACUGAAAAUCAUCCUGAACAUUUUGUAAACUUCAGCAGAUGAGAUUCAGGAUAGUUUAUGCCAUUUCAAUGUGUCUGUGAGGAAAGGAGAUCAAAAAUUAACAGCUCUGUGUUCUGAGGGAUUCUUCCAUGCUGGACUGUACAGCUGCUGCAAUGUCAGCCCUGCUCCCAGCUGAGGCUGGAGCAAACCUCAUCCCCCAGCACGGAGACCAGCAUGGAAAGGAUAUCCCUGAAUGGAGAGAUGAAAUGAAAGAGAUGAAGUGAAAGGAGAGGCAGAAAGUAUAUUUACAUGGUGCUCCCAGAGGUUCAUCUGAUAGAUCACAGAAUGGAAUGUUUUGGGUUG